GCCGGGGUGGCGUAGUUGGUGGCGCGUCGGACUCAUAGGGCAGCCUUCUGGCAGAGUGAGCGCUGAAGCCCCUUCGCAAUGUCUGAGACAUCCGAAGGUCGCGGGUUCGAGUCCCGCUCCCGGCACCU
RNAcentral lists this transfer RNA (128 nucleotides) under uncultured marine group II/III euryarchaeote KM3_174_A11. Its description in RNAcentral is "tRNA-OTHER". It matches the Rfam family "tRNA". Rfam says of the family: Transfer RNA (tRNA) molecules are approximately 80 nucleotides in length. Their secondary structure includes four short double-helical elements and three loops (D, anti-codon, and T loops). Lineage: Archaea; Methanobacteriati; Methanobacteriota. The record is from RNAcentral.